AUGUUCAAAGUAAUUAAACAGAUUAAGUAGUGUAUACUCAAAGUCUUUAAAAAGUUCUGUUAACUUAAAUAUGUCAAGUUCGUAUAACAUGUUCUUCUUUUUGAGUAAAUGAAACUAAUAAUAUUUGAUUGAAUUGAACUAUUUCUAUAUUAAGUAAGCAUCACUUAAAAUAAUAACUUAAGCACAACGUAACACAGUUAAGUUAGGACAUAUAAGAAUGGUAAAGUCCUGUUAUUUUUGUUGUUUCAAGUAGGUAGGAUUUAAUAAUAAACUUAAUUUAUGUAGCACAUGCUAAAAUACAAUAAAAUCUCAAAGUGUUUCACCAAAUAAGUAAAAUCAAAUUGUCUUAAAUGCAUUAGUGGAAGACAAAAUGUAUUUAUUUUAAUAUUCAUUGUUUUAUCACUGUGUCCUACAUAUAUAUUUUUAAUUUUUUCCGUAAGUGUUGAGCAGCUGCAGGAAUCAAUUUUUAUUCCGAGUUAAUCUCUGAUUCACCCUCCGAAGCGGAAGGCGGCGCUAAUGAGCAUUAAUACGAAACACAGAAGAAGUAAAGGUAUAUGGGCGGGAACAGCACCAAAGAGGCAACACGGACGACUGGAGAAAGUUGGACCUAAUGGCAGCAACUAGCAUCACUGGACUUACAGUAAGUUUUCAAUGUUGAUAUUAGUUUAUUGUUAAAAUACGAAUAUUUAGUUGUAUUUUGGGUGCGUGUCGAAAAGAAUAGCAGAAAUGUCGGUCCGUGUUUUUUAUGUGCUUUGCUGCUCUCCCCGAAGGAAACUUUGCGCUUGCAGAGCUAGCAUUAAGUUGUUGUAAUGACGGUCGCAGGCUGUUUAAAAAGUUAGAUACUACUUGCUCUAGAGGUGGCGCCCGGUCGCCUAGUAUGAAACAAAGUAUUUUAAUCUCUCUAAAUUUUUAAACCCCCUCUCAUGACUCAGAAUAGUUGGGUCCAAACAAGCCCGUUGUCCCUGCAGUUACACAACGGAGAUGCCUGUCUGCAGUGAGAGUGCUUUCAAGCAGUUUUCUUGUUAGAAACGCUAUAUUUUAAACUAUAUGUGUAGGGUUAGGGUUGUGAAGGAGCUCUCGGACCUCUGGCCUGCUCUAAAAAUGGAGUCUGAGUUGUAUGCAGAGUUUCAGCGGAUUACAAAUCAGAACCUGCCCAAUACAUUCUACGCUGAACUUGACCGCCAUCUUCCUCGACUGAUGACCUUAUUCAGCCAGGGCAUCAAAAACUGGGAAGACAGCAGAUGCCCUGGUUGAAAUUCUAAGAAUUCACAAUGAACAGGAAAUCCAUGAUAUCCACACCAAGCGCACUACCGUUCUCCCUGCCCUUCCUGUCUAUCUGCAUGAGGAUGUCUCUGGAUUUUUCAGAACCUGCACUGACGAAUCUGAUGAGUUGGAGCUUGAUGGUGUUGAAGUGGCCCUCUUCACUGUCAUCAGUGACCAUCACACAACAAGUCCAGUUCACUACCAACCUGUGAAAAUCUCUGUCGUCAUUGAAAGUGAUGCCGUGUUCAGUCUCCCCAGAUUUGGUGAAGCCUUCCUAGUAAUGUUUGGACUGAUCUAUGCACUUCCCCUCAGCUACCCCAAAGGCCUGACCAACACUUUAGAAUUUACUCAAAAGAUUUUAUUUGGUCUAGAAAGUGGUAAACUGUCACCCAGGUUACAGACCCUCAAGAAUGACUUGGUUAUGUAGGAACUCAUCUGAAAGAAGGAUGCAGGGUGAAGCAUUAUAAAAGGCUAGUUCAAAGUUCUCUCCUUUCAUCUAAAUAAUGCCUCAAAACAUUAUUAGAUUACUCUACAGGUGUUCAGCCAAUAGGUCCAAACUAUACAACGUGCCUUUGUUCUCAUUAACAUAAUGCAAAGCAACACUAAUGUUUUGUAUGUUUUAAUGUUUUUCGUAAUACUAUUUCCAAAACAUUGUGGGCUGCGCAAGAUGACCUAAAUUUCACUGUUUGAUACUGGUUAAUGUAAAACAAAUAGCAUUGUAAUUCACUCAAAUUGCUGCCUUGUUGUCUUAUUCAGAUAUUAGCCAGAGAGCCAAAAGCACAUUUUGAUAUUAUUAAUUAUUAUUUUUCAUUACUCUGACAGUUUUCCUGACUAAACAAUUUUUGGUCUACUUAUUUUAAUUUAUAA
Non-coding RNA from Maylandia zebra (zebra mbuna), 2130 nucleotides. The record is from RefSeq and is a predicted model, not a curated record. Lineage: Eukaryota; Metazoa; Chordata; Actinopteri; Cichliformes; Cichlidae.